AGGAAAAAAAAAAGAAAAAAGGAAAGAAGGAAAAAGCAAAGGCAGCACAGCGAAACCUGUGCUCAUCUCUUCCUUUUUCGCUCGUGUCUACCUCUAUCUUAUCCAU
Molecule: non-coding RNA, 106 nt
Filed under: Palpitomonas bilix
Lineage: Eukaryota
Source: RNAcentral